GUUUGAUCAUGAUUCAGAUUGAACGGUGUCGGCAGCAAUGACACAUGCAAGUCGAGAGUCAGUCGGAAUGUAUCUAGGUACUCUUGCCUGAGAGCGGCGUACAUAAUAGUCAUUCAUGAGAAAUAGAACAGUCGAGGGGGAUAGCUGAUGCAAAAUACUGUUUAUACUACAUAGUCCUUUAGGAAAUAAUCACGUGUCCUUGCGACCUAGCGCGAUUAGAUAUGUCCAGGUGGCAUUAGCUAGUUGGUGAGGUAAUAGCUCACCAAGGCGACGAUCCGUAGCUGUUCUGAGAGGAUGAUCAGCCACACUGGAACUGAGACACGGUCCAGACUCCUACGGGAGGCAGCAGUGGGGAAUAUUGCACAAUGGGGGAAACCCUGAUGCAGCCAUGCCGCGUGUGGGAUGAAGGUCUUCGGAUUGUAAACCUCUGUCAGAGAGGAAGAAAGGUCUGUAUUUAAUUUGGGUAGGCAGUGGCGUGUCUCGUCGAAGAAGCCCCGGGUUAAUUCGUUCCCACCACCGGGGUUAUUCGGAGGGGGCAAAGGUUUAUUGGAAAUUCUGGGGGUUAAGGGCCAGCUGGGGGUUGGAUAAAGUCAAGGGGAAAAUCCCGGCGUUAACCUGGGAAUCACCUUUUAAUCUGUCCUCAUAGGAUUAUGUGGAGGGGGGUAGAAUUUCCGGGGUAAGGAUGAAAAUCGGAGAAAUUUGGAAGAAUCCCGGGGGGGAAGGGGGCCCCCUGGGCAAAGAAUGACCAUCAGGUUGGGAAAGCAGGGGAGCCAUCAAAGGUAAAUUCCCUUGUAUUCCAACCUANAAGACCUGGUAGGAGGCUGUGUCGAUAGUCUCAUUCCGUAGUUAACGCGUUAAGCACCCCGCCUGGGGAGUACGGUCGCAAGGCUGAAACUCAAAGAAAUUGACGGGGGCCCGCACAAGCGGUGGAGUAUGUGGUUUAAUUCGAUGCAACGCGAAGAACCUUACCCAGGCUUGACAUCCAGGGGACCUCUAGGAAAUUAGAGGGUGCCCUUCGGGGAGCCCUGAGACAGGUGCUGCAUGGCUGUCGUCAGCUCGUGCCGUGAGGUGUUGGGUUAAGUCCCGCAACGAGCGCAACCCUUAUCUUUAGUUGCCAGCGAGUAAAGUUGGGCACUCUAGAGAGACUGCCCCGGUUAACGGGGAGGAAGGUGGGGAGGAUGUCAAGUCAUCAUGGCCCUUAAUCCUGUGGGUACACAUAUAGAUCAUUGCUGUGCACAAACAGAACCAAGCCAAUGAGGUAGUCCCAAUCGCAAAAAUCCAAUCUCACUAGGCCAGAGAGUCCCCAACUUUCCUCCAUGGAGUGUGAAU
Molecule: ribosomal RNA, 1329 nt
Filed under: uncultured bacterium
Lineage: Bacteria
Description: partial 16S ribosomal RNA
Rfam family: Bacterial small subunit ribosomal RNA
Source: RNAcentral